Molecule: long non-coding RNA, 403 nt
Filed under: Populus trichocarpa (black cottonwood)
Lineage: Eukaryota; Viridiplantae; Streptophyta; Magnoliopsida; Malpighiales; Salicaceae
Description: long non-coding RNA (PTRI_LNC000318)
Source: RNAcentral
AAAAAAAACACAGGCAGUCGAUUUUAUUUGGGUAUUUUUUAGAUCUGUUUGAAGCAUUAUGUUCUCUCCUCCUGGUUUGUUUUACUUUCUGCCGAUGUCAGAUCGGGCGGUUGGGGUAGCUAUGGCGCCGGCCUUGUUACUGUGCGCGUGGCCGCUGAAGCUACUCUUGAGGUGGGAGAGACUGAGAGUUUGUGUUGAUGGCCGGCUAUGGGACCAGAAAUUGGAAAUGGCCGGUUUGGGUUUGUUUUGGGGCUGGGGGGGAAGGAAAGCUUUGGCUGGCGAGAGGGGAAAAUGAAACCGAAGGGAAAAGGCUGGAAUCAGGGAAAAGGGAGUGUUGGUGUUGUGGUCGGGUGUCUGUGGGGGUAAGUGGCUGAGAUGGAGAAAUGGAGGGGCUCGCUGGUGG